ACGGUAACAGGAAGCAGCUUGCUGCUUUGCUGACGAGUGGCGGACGGGUGAGUAAUGUCUGGGAAACUGCCUGAUGGAGGGGGAUAACUACUGGAAACGGUGGCUAAUACCGCAUAACGUCGCAAGACCAAAGAGGGGGACCUUCGGGCCUCUUGCCAUCAGAUGUGCCCAGAUGGGAUUAGCUAGUUGGUGAGGUAACGGCUCACCAAGGCGACGAUCCCUAGCUGGUCUGAGAGGAUGACCAGCCACACUGGAACUGAGACACGGUCCAGACUCCUACGGGAGGCAGCAGUGGGGAAUAUUGCACAAUGGGCGCAAGCCUGAUGCAGCCAUGCCGCGUGUAUGAAGAAGGCCUUCGGGUUGUAAAGUACUUUCAGCGGGGAGGAAGGUGUUGUGGUUAAUAACCGCAGCAAUUGACGUUACCCGCAGAAGAAGCACCGGCUAACUCCGUGCCAGCAGCCGCGGUAAUACGGAGGGUGCAAGCGUUAAUCGGAAUUACUGGGCGUAAAGCGCACGCAGGCGGUCUGUCAAGUCGGAUGUGAAAUCCCCGGGCUCAACCUGGGAACUGCAUUCGAAACUGGCAGGCUUGAGUCUUGUAGAGGGGGGUAGAAUUCCAGGUGUAGCGGUGAAAUGCGUAGAGAUCUGGAGGAAUACCGGUGGCGAAGGCGGCCCCCUGGACAAAGACUGACGCUCAGGUGCGAAAGCGUGGGGAGCAAACAGGAUUAGAUACCCUGGUAGUCCACGCCGUAAACGAUGUCUACUUGGAGGUUGUGCCCUUGAGGCGUGGCUUCCGGAGCUAACGCGUUAAGUAGACCGCCUGGGGAGUACGGCCGCAAGGUUAAAACUCAAAUGAAUUGACGGGGGCCCGCACAAGCGGUGGAGCAUGUGGUUUAAUUCGAUGCAACGCGAAGAACCUUACCUGGUCUUGACAUCCACAGAAGAAUCCAGAGAUGGAUUUGUGCCUUCGGGAACUGUGAGACAGGUGCUGCAUGGCUGUCGUCAGCUCGUGUUGUGAAAUGUUGGGUUAAGUCCCGCAACGAGCGCAACCCUUAUCCUUUGUUGCCAGCGGUCCGGCCGGGAACUCAAAGGAGACUGCCAGUGAUAAACUGGAGGAAGGUGGGGAUGACGUCAAGUCAUCAUGGCCCUUACGACCAGGGCUACACACGUGCUACAAUGGCGCAUACAAAGAGAAGCGACCUCGCGAGAGCAAGCGGACCUCAUAAAGUGCGUCGUAGUCCGGAUUGGAGUCUGCAACUCGACUCCAUGAAGUCGGAAUCGCUAGUAAUCGUGGAUCAGAAUGCCACGGUGAAUACGUUCCCGGGCCUUGUACACACCGCCCGUCACACCAUGGGAGUGGGUUGCAAAAGAAGUAGGUAGCUUAACCUUCGGGAGGGCGCUUACCACUUUGUGAUUCAUGACUGGGGUGAAGUCGUAACAAGGUAACCGUAGGGGAACCUGCGGUUGGAUCACCUCCUUACCUUAAAGAA
RNAcentral lists this ribosomal RNA (1487 nucleotides) under Salmonella enterica. RNAcentral's name for it is "bacterial SSU rRNA". It matches the Rfam family "Bacterial small subunit ribosomal RNA". Lineage: Bacteria; Pseudomonadati; Pseudomonadota; Gammaproteobacteria; Enterobacterales; Enterobacteriaceae. The record is from RNAcentral.